This 76-nucleotide transfer RNA is filed under the name Brucella inopinata. RNAcentral describes it as "tRNA-Met". It matches the Rfam family "tRNA". Rfam says of the family: Transfer RNA (tRNA) molecules are approximately 80 nucleotides in length. The record is from RNAcentral. Lineage: Bacteria; Pseudomonadati; Pseudomonadota; Alphaproteobacteria; Hyphomicrobiales; Brucellaceae.
GGCCUGUAGCUCAAUUGGUUAGAGCCGGCGGCUCAUAACCGCUUGGUUGGGGGUUCGAGUCCCUCCGGGCCCACCA